RNAcentral lists this long non-coding RNA (805 nucleotides) under Cyanistes caeruleus (blue tit). RNAcentral's name for it is "lncRNA (ENSCCEG00000017679.1)". The record is from RNAcentral. Lineage: Eukaryota; Metazoa; Chordata; Aves; Passeriformes; Paridae.
AUGGGAUCAGCAGACUUUACAGAAAGCGAUGUUUUAAUUAGAGAUUCUCUGCAAACACCGCCAGGCAACAUCUUCUCCCUUCAUUAUCUCCCCUUAAAGGGCUGCUGCUGCUUUUCAGGUCGGAGUCACUCCCGAGCCUCUCCUGCUCCGGGUGAUGCCCCAGUUCACCUUCGCCUGCUUCUGUGGCCUCCACGGCUUCUGCAAGAUGAAGAGGAAGAAGGAACAGGCCAGCGGGGGGCAGGAGACGGCCGUGUGAGGAUCAGCCCCCGCCCGGGACCCCCUCCUGUCCCCUCGAUUCUCUCCCGCAUCCCGUGGAUUCUCUCCUCAUUUCCCGUCCCUCCCUGUCCCCAGGAAGCCGGGGAAGAGCCGAAGUGUCCCUGCCCACGAUGUCCCUGCCCGUCCCGCUGCGAGCGAGAAUUCCCCCCCUGCUCCAGCAAUUCCCAGCAGAGAAACCGGGAAAAGCUCCAAAAUCCGGGCCAAGCCUCGUCCUUGCCGGAAUCCAGAGCUGGGCAGCGCCUCUGGCACGGCCAGGUCCGUCCCUGCCUCCUUCCCUCUCCCUGGAACAAUCCUGGACCUUUCCAGAAACUCGGGAUGCGCUCCGGCAAUUCCUCCCGACUUCGGAUCUUCCUCUUCUCCCCUCCAGAAGCAGCCGGACCUGAGCGCUGCUGGAGCAGAUGAAUCCCGCUGAUGGCAGUGGGAAUGAGGCGUCUAUCCAAGGAAAAUUCCAAGGGUUUUCCGUCCUCUGGAGCGGGAGGCGAGCGGUGAAGCCGAAGCCGGAGCCGUGUUCUGGCUGCUCCCGGAUUUC